Molecule: long non-coding RNA, 611 nt
Organism: Mobula hypostoma (lesser devil ray)
Lineage: Eukaryota; Metazoa; Chordata; Chondrichthyes; Myliobatiformes; Myliobatidae
Exons: 3
Source: RefSeq, a predicted model, not a curated record
GUUUUUUCCUCUCUGUUUCAUGGAUGUCUGUGAAGAGUAAGGAUUUCAGGUGAGAAUACUGGAUCAGGAAACCAUUUUCCAUUUCAGGAAUGCAAAAUACAUCACUCUGGUGACUUCAUUCACACAACCAGGUGGCAUUAUGAAUUGCACCUUUCCAGAAACCCCAAGUUGAAAACAAGACAUGAAUCUUGAUAAUCUCCUGUUCACUUCUGGACGACAACUGGAGAACUGAUGCCUCUGGAGAACAAACAGCACAAGAACUACGAUCUGACAAUACGAGCAAACUUAACUGAAAAUGAUUCAGAUGGUGAUGAGAAGGCAUCAGGAGCAAAAUAUAUCAGCUCAUCAUCAGUAAGACCAAAGAAUUGAUUAUGGACUUCAGGAAGGGUAGGACGAGGGAAAACACACCUGUCUUCAUAGAGGGAUCAGAAGUGAAGAAAGUGAGCAAUUUCAAGUUCCUGGUCGUCAAUAUCUCUAAGGAUCAAACUGGGCCCAACAUAUCGAUGCAGUUACAACAAAGGUAUGACAGCAGAUAUAUUCCAUUAGGAAUUUGAGAACUGGUAUGUCACCAAAACACUCACAUAUUUCUACAGAUCUAUCAUGGAAAGCAU